CGCGUAGGCGGUUUGUAUAGUCAGGCGUGAAAUUCCUGGGCUCAACCUGGGGGCUGCGCUUGAUACGUGCGGACUUGAGUGCGGAAGAGGGUCGUGGAAUUCCCAGUGUAGAGGUGAAAUUCGUAGAUAUUGGGAAGAACACCGGUGGCGAAGGCGGCGACCUGGUCCGUAACUGACGCUGAGGCGCGAAAGCGUGGGGAGCAAACAGGAUUAGAUACCCUGGUAGUCCACGCCGUAAACGAUGUGCGCUGGAUGUUGGGUGGCCUAGCCACUCAGUGUCGUAGCUAACGCGGUAAGCGCACCGCCUGGGGAGUACGGCCGCAAGGUUGAA
Molecule: ribosomal RNA, 331 nt
Filed under: uncultured bacterium
Lineage: Bacteria
Description: bacterial SSU rRNA
Rfam family: Bacterial small subunit ribosomal RNA
Source: RNAcentral